GUAGGGAAUAUUGGGCAAUGGUCGGAAGACUGACCCAACCAUGCCGCGUGCAGGAAGACGGCCCUCUGGGUUGUAAACUGCUUUUAUCUGGGAAGAAAAAGGCCAUGCGUGGCAAAUUGCCGGUACCAGAUGAAUAAGCACCGGCUAACUCCGUGCCAGCAGCCGCGGUAAUACGGAGGGUGCAAGCGUUGUCGGAUUUAUUGGGUUUAAAGGGUGCGUAGGCGGCUGAUUAAGUCAGCGGUGAAAGACUCCGGCUUAACCGGAGCAGUGGCGUUGAUACUGGUUAGGUUGAGUGUUGGAGGGGUACAUGGAAUUGAUGGUGUAGCGGUGAAAUGCAUAGAUACCAUCAGGAACACCGAUAGCGAAGGCAUUGUACUGGCCAACAACUGACGCUGAUGCACGAAAGUGUGGGGAUCGAACAGGAUUAGAAACCCCUGUAGUCC
Molecule: ribosomal RNA, 443 nt
Filed under: uncultured bacterium
Lineage: Bacteria
Description: partial 16S ribosomal RNA
Rfam family: Bacterial small subunit ribosomal RNA
Source: RNAcentral